CCGCCUCUCCCAUUCCACUGACUCAAAUGUUAAUCUCCUUUGGCAACACCCUCGUGGACACACCCAGGAACAAUGCUUUGCAUCCUUCAACCCAGUCAAGUUGGUGCUCAGUAUUAGCCAUCACAGGGGGUAUGUUAAGCAAGACUUGU
Long non-coding RNA from Sapajus apella (tufted capuchin), 149 nucleotides. RefSeq lists it as uncharacterized. The transcript has 4 exons. NCBI's taxonomy places the organism in Eukaryota, Metazoa, Chordata, Mammalia, Primates, Cebidae. The record is from RefSeq and is a predicted model, not a curated record.